RNAcentral lists this ribosomal RNA (1188 nucleotides) under uncultured bacterium. RNAcentral describes it as "bacterial SSU rRNA". It matches the Rfam family "Bacterial small subunit ribosomal RNA", at positions 200 to 1399 of the family's 1533-position model. The record is from RNAcentral.
AUUAAAGGAGUAAUCCACUAUGAGAUGGGCCCGCGGCGCAUUAGUUAGUUGGUGAGGUAACGGCUCACCAAGGCGAUGACGGGUAGCCGGUCUGAGAGGAUGUCCGGCCACACUGGAACUGAGACACGGUCCAGACACCUACGGGUGGCAGCAGUCGAGAAUCAUUCACAAUGGGGGAAACCCUGAUGGUGCGACGCCGCGUGGGGGAAUGAAGGUCUUCGGAUCGUAAACCCCUGUCAUGUGGGAGCAAAUUAAAAAGAUAGUACCACAAGAGGAAGAGACGGCUAACUCUGUGCCAGCAGCCGCGGUAAUACAGAGGUCUCAAGCGUUGUUCGGAAUCGCUGGGCGUAAAGCGUGCGUAGGCUGUUUCGUAAGUCGUGUGUGAAAGGCGCGGGCCCAACCCGCGGACGGCACAUGAUACUGCGAGACUAGAGUAAUGGAGGGGGAACCGGAAUUCUCGGUGUAGCAGUGAAAUGCGUAGAUAUCGAGAGGAACACUCGUGGCGAAGGCGGGUUCCUGGACAUUAACUGACGCUGAGGCACGAAGGCCAGGGGAGCGAAAGGGGAUUAGAUACCCCUGUAGUCCUGGCAGUAAACGGUGCACGCUUGGUGUGCGGGGAAUCGACCCCCUGCGUGCCGGAGCUAACGCGUUAAGCGUGCCGCCUGGGGAGUACGGUCGCAAGAUUAAAACUCAAAGAAAUUGACGGGGACCCGCACAAGCGGUGGAGUAUGUGGCUUAAUUCGAUGCAACGCGAAGAACCUUACCUGGGCUUGACAUGUAAUGAACAACAUGUGAAAGCAUGCGACUCUUCGGAGGCGUUACACAGGUGCUGCAUGGCCGUCGUCAGCUCGUGUCGUGAGAUGUUUGGUUAAGUCCAGCAACGAGCGCAACCCCUGUUGCCAGUUACCAGCACGUGAAGGUGGGGACUCUGGCGAGACUGCCCAGAUCAACUGGGAGGAAGGUGGGGACGACGUCAGGUCAGUAUGGCCCUUAUGCCCAGGGCUGCACACGUACUACAAUGCCCAGUACAGAGGGGGCCGAAGCCGCGAGGCGGAGGAAAUCCUAAAAACUGGGCCCAGUUCGGACUGUAGGCUGCAACCCGCCUACACGAAGCCGGAAUCGCUAGUAAUGGCGCAUCAGCUACGGCGCCGUGAAUACGUUCCCGGGUCUUGCACACACCGCCCGUCA